RNAcentral lists this ribosomal RNA (253 nucleotides) under uncultured bacterium. RNAcentral's name for it is "partial 16S ribosomal RNA". It matches the Rfam family "Bacterial small subunit ribosomal RNA", at positions 524 to 776 of the family's 1533-position model. The record is from RNAcentral.
GACAGAGGGUGCAAGCGUUGUUCGGAAUUAUUGGGCGUAAAGCGCACGUAGGCGGCGCAGUAAGUCGGGUGUGAAAGCCCGGGGCUUAACCCCGGAAUUGCACUCGAAACUGCUGUGCUUGAGUCCCGGAGAGGGUGGUGGAAUUCCUGGUGUAGAGGUGAAAUUCGUAGAUAUCAGGAGGAACACCCGUGGCGAAGGCGACCACCUGGACGGUGACUGACGCUGAGGUGCGAAAGCGUGGGGAGCAAACAGG